RNAcentral lists this ribosomal RNA (500 nucleotides) under uncultured bacterium. Its description in RNAcentral is "partial 16S ribosomal RNA". It matches the Rfam family "Bacterial small subunit ribosomal RNA", at positions 28 to 507 of the family's 1533-position model. The record is from RNAcentral.
GACGAACGCUGGCGGCAUGCCUAAUACAUGCAAGUCGAGCGAACAUUUAUAGAAUCUUGCUUCUUUAAAUGUUAGCGGCGGAUGGGUGAUUAACACGUAGGCAACCUGUCCUGCAGAUGAGGAUAACUCCGGCAAACCGGGGCUAACACCGGAUCAUCAGUUUGUCCGCAUGGACAAACUCUAAAAGCCGGCUUCGGCUGUCACUGCAGGAUUUGCCCGCGGCGCAUUAGCUAGUUGGUGGGAUAACGGCCUACCAAGGCAACGAUGCGUAGCCGACCUGAGAGGGUGAUCGGCCACACUGGGACUGAGACACGGCCCAGACUCCUACGGGAGGCAGCAGUAGGGAAUCUUCCACAAUGGACGGAAGUCUGAUGGAGCAAUGCCGCGUGAGCGAAGAAGGUUUUCGGAUCGUAAAGCUCUGUUGUGAGGGAAGAACAAGUACGGGAGUAACUGCCCGUAGCUUGACGGUACCUCAUGAGAAAGCCACGGCUAACUACGUG